UGAGUAACCUGCCCUUAACUCUGGGAUAAGCCUGGGAAACUGGGUCUAAUACCGGAUAUGACUCCUCAUCGCAUGGUGGGGGGUGGAAAGCUUUUUGUGGUUUUGGAUGGACUCGCGGCCUAUCAGCUUGCUGGUGAGGUAAUGGCUUACCAAGGCGACGACGGGUAGCCGGCCUGAGAGGGUGACCGGCCACACUGGGACUGAGACACGGCCCAGACUCCUACGGGAGGCAG
RNAcentral lists this ribosomal RNA (233 nucleotides) under uncultured bacterium. RNAcentral's name for it is "partial 16S ribosomal RNA". It matches the Rfam family "Bacterial small subunit ribosomal RNA", at positions 118 to 351 of the family's 1533-position model. The record is from RNAcentral.